UGGGUAACCUGCCUCAAAGAGGGGAAUAGCCUCCCGAAAGGGAGAUUAAUACCGCAUAAUAUGUUUAAGUCGCAUGACUUUAACAUCAAAGGAUUUUCUUUUAGAAAUUCCACUUUGAGAUGGACCCGCGGCGCAUUAGCUAGUUGGUGAGGUAACGGCUCACCAAGGCAACGAUGCGUAGCCGACCUGAGAGGGUGAUCGGCCACAUUGGAACUGAGACACGGUCCAGCUCCUAGGAGG
Molecule: ribosomal RNA, 240 nt
Filed under: uncultured bacterium
Lineage: Bacteria
Description: partial 16S ribosomal RNA
Rfam family: Bacterial small subunit ribosomal RNA
Source: RNAcentral